This 249-nucleotide long non-coding RNA is filed under the name Lathyrus oleraceus (garden pea). RNAcentral describes it as "Pisum sativum (pea) long non-coding RNA (PSAT_LNC018263)". Lineage: Eukaryota; Viridiplantae; Streptophyta; Magnoliopsida; Fabales; Fabaceae. The record is from RNAcentral.
AAAAAUUAAUUAAAUAAAUAAAUAAAUAAAUAAAAUAUAAUAGAAAAAUCUUGGACUUGGACCUCUCUCAUUUGAGCCCACAAAACCAUGAAAAUCAGGUUAUAAAAGAGGGAGAACAGACAGAAAAAGGAAGAGAAGCAAAGCACUCUGAGGUUUCCUUGGAACAAAACCCUGGACAAAACCUGAAGAGAAACCUAGACAGAGAGAGUGAGAAUUAAUCUGCAGCAACCUCCAGGCAACUCUGAAAGG